This is a long non-coding RNA of Labeo rohita (rohu), 220 nucleotides long. RefSeq lists it as uncharacterized. The record is from RefSeq and is a predicted model, not a curated record. NCBI's taxonomy places the organism in Eukaryota, Metazoa, Chordata, Actinopteri, Cypriniformes, Cyprinidae. The transcript has 3 exons.
AGAUGGUCUAUCGCUUUCAGCAGGUUUCUUGCUCAUGGUCUAUGGGUUACACCUUGGAGGAGGUAGUUCUCUCUUCUCUCUAAGUUUCUAAUCUUUGAAUGGACGGCACCUGCAAAACAUGGUAGCUGUUGAUCAGAACAUAGAAGUUGACUGGAACCCAUACAAGAAGCUCCAUCUAAUGCUUGGUUAACAAAUUUAAAUGUUAUUGUAGCAGUAAUAA